GCCUCGGUGGUGUAGUGGUGGAGCAGGCGCCCCCAUAGGAUGAACGCGGGUUCGAUUCCGGUCUGAGGCC
Parelaphostrongylus tenuis is the source of this 70-nucleotide non-coding RNA. NCBI's taxonomy places the organism in Eukaryota, Metazoa, Nematoda, Chromadorea, Rhabditida, Metastrongylidae. The record is from the annotation of a GenBank genome assembly.